AAUUUGAUUUUGAUGGAAAAGAAAUACUGAAAAGAGUUCGGAAGAAAGCCAUGCUGAAGAUCCACGAAGCCAAUCAGAUUGUUCUGCAUGGCGACAGAUCACUUAACUUCAAAUCGGACGCUGCGCACAUUACACCUGUUUUUUACAACAUUAUCAAAAAUAACGCGAAACGUCCUAUUGUAAACCCCGAACUUCCAACAUCAUACGGCUCAGUAAAUACAUCGACAAAUAAUGUUGCUGAUAACCCUGCUAAUCAGCUGGUCAAUGUCAACAACACAAAUCAAAACAAACAAACGCGAUACAAUCUGCGAAGGAGAAAAUAAAAAAUUUAAAAAAAAAAUUUUGUUCAACAACUACGUGAUAUCGAUUCCCUGAAGAUGGUCGUUUGACCGAAUGCAUGGAAAAUAAAUAA
Bradysia coprophila is the source of this 412-nucleotide long non-coding RNA. NCBI's taxonomy places the organism in Eukaryota, Metazoa, Arthropoda, Insecta, Diptera, Sciaridae. The record is from RefSeq and is a predicted model, not a curated record.